AACAGCUGCAACCAUUUACCAUUAGCAAAAAAAUGCCCUUUUUGAAGGCAAAUUUAUUAUUUUUUUAAAAGUGUUGCUUAAUCCCUCUCCAAUAAAUUUGCAGAGAUCAUGUGUUAAUAUGGGACCACGGAUUUCAUAUGUUGCACAGAUUAACUGUAGGCAAGGAAUUUUUAUUCCCCUAGCAGCAAGCUGCUUGCAGUAAUAUUGUCAAUGAACACACUGGAUUUCCAGUGUGUAUUAACCCUAGAUAUAUUUUACGCUUUCUUUUAGGACUACUGUUUUUAUAUGUGGCAGCAGAAUGUUUCUGCACAAGUAAGUUUUUGAUAAGUGAUCUGAAAAGCCCAUUUCAUCCAUCCUACCAAGAUAAGCCUAAUGAAGGAGAUUAAAUUAAUUUGUUUAUCCUAAUAAACCAAACUUGUAUGACAGGACAUAACUUCUAGUAAAUUCUAGGAACAGAUAAGAACUAUACAUGCUAAAGGAAUAGGGUGGCACAAGGACAGAGACAAGUUAUCCAAAAAAAGAUGCAAAGCUGGAAAUUGUUAAAAAAAAAAAGCUUGUAAUAAUGAAAACAAAGACGAACUGAAGCAAAAAUCCCUAACCACUUUAAGGGAAAAACCUGGGAGGGGAUAAUGGAAAAAAGCAAUGAAAGCAGAUGAAGAAUACAUGAAAGCCAGGGAAGGCUAAGACAAUUUUCUGUGGAUAUUUUUCAAUUCUCCAAAAGGAGCAUGAAGGCAGGACAAAACAGCCAAGAUCAAAUGACAGCUGAAGGACUGGUGUCAAAGAAAACAGACCAUGAACAGAUUUACUGACUUAACUGGACUAGCCACAAGGUUGGAAUUAUGUAUGUGCUUCAGUAUCGUGCCAGCCCACAGUUUCAACAGAAACAACAGACAGCCUGUUCCACCUAGUACCAAGUGCAACCAUGCCUUCUGAAAGGGUUUGAUGUCAAACAACGUAUUCAUGAUUACUGUUCAUCUUUGUCCAAGAUGUGGCAGUCAGCUCACAUCCAACACUUAAGAGCAUCAUGACAAAUAGCUGUUUCUUGAAGUGUUUACUCAACACGGUUGAAAGGCUUUUUUCAGCCCUGGCUCAAUGGGAUUUCAGCCUUGAGCCAGAAACACUGUGAUCUUUGGGGGCUUACAAAGCAUGAGUGGCCUUACAAAAUCUAGGCAGUUUGCCAAAGGCUCUUUUUUUUUUUUUAAACUUUGUUGAACCGUGGUGGAAGGUUAAACAAUUCACACAGUUUUGAUUCUCCCUACCCCCAGUUUGCCUUGCACUUAGUGUCUUCUUGUCAAGAAGUAAAGUAUCUUCAUAAUGGGAUGGAUGGAACCAUUUCAGCUAUUACACAGCAGUGAUGGUAUUGCAGGAAAUCUGAAACAAAUGUUAACUUCAACCCUUUUCAGCUCAAAAGAAAGAAGUAUAUUUACCAUGCUGAGAAGUUUUCAUAUCACAUGGUAUCAAUUUUCUUAUGGUUCAUUUGAAAUAAUAGAAAAAAAAAAAAAAUCCAUCCCCAGCUUUAUGCUGUCUGAGAAUUGGAGAGCAGGAAGUGAACUGUUCAUGUCAAGGGGCAAGCCUCAGAAAUCUGACUCCAGGAGAAGAAUGCCUUGUUUCCAAAAGCACUAAUACACCCAUCAUACAGUGCAAGCAUGUUUUCAUACAUACAUUUUAAUUUAUGCAUGUUUUGUGGCAGAAAAGGUCCAUCACUUAAGAAUCAAUA
Cyanistes caeruleus (blue tit) is the source of this 1717-nucleotide non-coding RNA. The record is from RefSeq and is a predicted model, not a curated record. NCBI's taxonomy places the organism in Eukaryota, Metazoa, Chordata, Aves, Passeriformes, Paridae.